This 460-nucleotide ribosomal RNA is filed under the name uncultured bacterium. Its description in RNAcentral is "partial 16S ribosomal RNA". It matches the Rfam family "Bacterial small subunit ribosomal RNA", at positions 338 to 795 of the family's 1533-position model. The record is from RNAcentral.
CCUACGGGAGACAGCAGUGAGGAAUAUUGGUCAAUGGACGAGAGUCUGAACCAGCGAAGUAGCGUGAAGGAUGACUGCCCUAUGUGUUGUAAACUUCUUUUAUAAAGGAAUAAAACGCGGCACGUUUCCCUUUUUGCAUUUACUUUAUGAAUAAGGAUAGGCUCACUCCGUUCCAUCCGCCACGGUAAUACGGAGGAUCCGAGCUUUAUCCGGAUUGUGUGGGUGUAAAGGGAGCGUAGAUGGGUUGUUAAGUCAGUUGUGAAAGUAUGCGGCUCAACCGUAAAAGUGCAAUGGAUACUGGCAGUAUUGAGUACAGGUGAGGUAGGUGGAAUUCGUGGUGUAGCGGUGAAAUGCUUAGAUAUCACGAAGAACCCCGAUUGCGAAGGCAGCUUACUAAACUGUGACUGACAUUGAUGCUCGAAAGUGUGGGUAGCAAACAGGAUUAGAUACCCGGGUAGUC